RNAcentral lists this ribosomal RNA (560 nucleotides) under uncultured bacterium. RNAcentral's name for it is "bacterial SSU rRNA". It matches the Rfam family "Bacterial small subunit ribosomal RNA", at positions 777 to 1345 of the family's 1533-position model. The record is from RNAcentral.
AAUAGAUACCCCGGUAGUCCACGCCCUAAACGAUGCUUGCUAGCUGUUAUCAGUAGUCGACCCGUGGUAGUAGCGAAGCUAACGCGUUAAGCAAGCCGCCUGGGGAGUACGAACGCAAGUUUAAAACUCAAAGGAAUUGACGGGGACCCGCACAAGCGGUGGAGCGUGUUGUUUAAUUCGAUGAUAAGCGUAGAACCUUACCAGGGUUUGACAUCUCGGGAAUUUCUGCGAAAGCAGAGAGUGCCUUUUGGAACCCGAUGACAGGUGAUGCAUGGCCGUCGUCAGCUCGUGUCGUGAGAUGUUUGGUUAAGUCCAUCAACGAGCGCAACCCUUAUAGUUAGUUUGGAUUUCUCUAGCUAGACUGCCCCGGUAACGGGGAGGGAAGGAGGGGAUGAUGUCAGGUCAGUAUUUCCCUUACAUCCUGGGCGACAAACACGCUACAAUGGCCGGUACAAAGGGCAGCCAACCCGCGAGGGGGAGCAAAUCCCAUCAAAGCCGGUCCCCAGUUCGGAUAGGAGGCUGAAACUCGCCUCCUUGAAGCCGGAAUCGCUAGUAACGGU